RNAcentral lists this ribosomal RNA (810 nucleotides) under human gut metagenome. RNAcentral's name for it is "bacterial SSU rRNA". It matches the Rfam family "Bacterial small subunit ribosomal RNA", at positions 33 to 840 of the family's 1533-position model. The record is from RNAcentral.
ACGCUGGCGGCGCGCCUAACACAUGCAAGUCGAACGGAGCUGUUUUCUCUGAAGUUUUCGGAUGGAAGAGAGUUCAGCUUAGUGGCGAACGGGUGAGUAACGCGUGGGUAACCUGCCUUUCAGUGGGGGAUAACAUUUGGAAACGAAUGCUAAUACCGCAUAAGACCACAGUGUCGCAUGGCACAGGGGUCAAAGGAUUUAUCCGCUGAAAGAUGGGCUCGCGUCCGAUUAGCUAGAUGGUGAGGUAACGGCCCACCAUGGCGACGAUCGGUAGCCGGACUGAGAGGUUGAACGGCCACAUUGGGACUGAGACACGGCCCAGACUCCUACGGGAGGCAGCAGUGGGGAAUAUUGCACAAUGGGGGAAACCCUGAUGCAGCGACGCCGCGUGAAGGAAGAAGGUCUUCGGAUUGUAAACUCCUGUCCCAGGGGACGAUAAUGACGGUACCCUGGGAGGAAGCACCGGCUAACUACGUGCCAGCAGCCGCGGUAAAACGUAGGGUGCAAGCGUUGUCCGGAAUUACUGGGUGUAAAGGGAGCGCAGGCGGAUUGGCAAGUUGGGAGUGAAAUCUAUGGGCUCAACCCAUGAAUUGCUUUCAAAACUGUCAGUCUUGAGUGCUGGAGAGGUAGGCGGAAUUCCCGGUGUAGCGGUGGAAUGCGUAGAUAUCGGGAGGAACACCAGUGGCGAAGGCGGCCUACUGGGCACUAACUGACGCUGAGGCUCGAAAGCAUGGGUAGCAAACAGGAUUAGAUACCCUGGUAGUCCAUGCCGUAAACGAUGAUUACUAGGUGUGGGAGGAUUGACCCCUU